UCUACCCCUACUUUCUGCCAGAGCGAUGGUGGCUGAGACGCAGCGGAGUGGAGGUGUGACUGCCUGGCUUAGAACAGGACAUGUUAGCUGCAUUUAACCUUAAGUUACUCUUUAUAUAGUUAGGUAGGAGUCAGACCAUGUUUCUUUUUAGCUGAAAAACAUUACACCCAGGUAACCUGCAGUGUUGAAAACGUGUUUUCUGUCACGUCCGGUGUGGCAGACGUGUGGAGUUUGUAGAAAAGGACCCAAAAUGCGGCAGCUCUGGUGCAGGUGAGUAUUUAUUGAAAGGAGUGGAAACAAACAGCGAUGGCGGGGGAACAUGAAACUGGAACCUAAACUGGGCAGAGCUAACAAAACAAACCUGAACGAAGAUGCAGGGAGGUACGGGGAAAUACACCGAGAGGCGGACGGAGAGACGCAGGAAGAGCGAGGUGAACAACACAGACGAACCAGCAACGAGGACAGUUUGGGGAGAGUAACCGUGACAGAGCCAAGAAAGACAUUUGCACCCUGCUGGGAGUCAUGACUGCCCGGCAUUACCUGGGGCCUGGUCUUCUUCUCUUUUGGAUACCUGAACACUCCUGGUCUCUACCUCUUCUGCAUGCUGAACUCACUGCAAGGUUUCUUCAUCUUCCUGUGGUUUAUGAUGUCACUGAAAAAGGCUAAAACCGCAGUUACUAAGACAAGCAGUGAAACACGUAGCACCAGCACCUAGCUUACACACAACUACCAAUACCUCAAGAAGUGCCUUUGUGUGUGUUUUUGGAAUGUAUAAUGUAAUAUAAACCUAGAAACAUUCUUUAUUUUUAAGCUCAGGUAUAACACAAUGUAUAAGAUAAGACAACGACUGAGACUAAAGAAUGUAUGUGAAUGUAUUAAGUGUGAAGAUUUUAAAAGUUCCACUUUAGUUUGAAGUUUUCUUUGUAUUUCAAUAAACAAAAUGUUUGUGGCAAGGGGUUUAUCUUUCCACCAGAGCAUGUAAGAUAUGAUAACGCAUUUUUACAUUUUUCACUGUUGGGGCACUUCUGAGAGUGAAAAUUGAAAUAAUGAUGCAGUAAAGAAAGUCCAGAAAAAGUGGAAGACAGACAGUAGAUCAACUGUCUCUUCUCCACCUGCUUUCAGAGAUCAGAGGUAAAACAACAGAAAAUUGCUGUUUUGUCACAUAUUCACCAGUCUGCAUAUCCGAUCUAGGUUUUAAAUGAAACUCAUCUUGCAUUAGUUUAGUUUUUUAAGGCGCUGUUAUGUUGACUGCACAUACAGUGUUUAGCUUUAUUGUAACUGAACUGGUUUGAAAAUUAUUUUAUAUUAAAGCACAUUGUGAAUCACUAAA
Long non-coding RNA from Oreochromis aureus, 1330 nucleotides. RefSeq lists it as uncharacterized. The record is from RefSeq and is a predicted model, not a curated record. NCBI's taxonomy places the organism in Eukaryota, Metazoa, Chordata, Actinopteri, Cichliformes, Cichlidae. The transcript has 3 exons.